UACGUAGGGUGCGAGCGUUAAUCGGAAUUACUGGGCGUAAAGCGUGCGCAGGCGGUGAUGUAAGACCGAUGUGAAAGCCCCGGGCUCAACCUGGGAAUGGCAUUGGAAACUGGCGAGCUAGAGUGUGGCAGAGGGGGGUGGAAUUCCGCGUGUAGCAGUGAAAUGCGUAGAGAUGCGGAGGAACACCGAUGGCGAAGGCAGCCCCCUGGGCUGACACUGACGCUCAGGCACGAAAGCGUGGGGAGCAAACAGG
RNAcentral lists this ribosomal RNA (253 nucleotides) under uncultured bacterium. Its description in RNAcentral is "partial 16S ribosomal RNA". It matches the Rfam family "Bacterial small subunit ribosomal RNA", at positions 524 to 776 of the family's 1533-position model. The record is from RNAcentral.